RNAcentral lists this ribosomal RNA (212 nucleotides) under Vibrio parahaemolyticus. RNAcentral describes it as "partial 23S ribosomal RNA". It matches the Rfam family "Bacterial large subunit ribosomal RNA", at positions 1703 to 1897 of the family's 2925-position model. Lineage: Bacteria; Pseudomonadati; Pseudomonadota; Gammaproteobacteria; Vibrionales; Vibrionaceae. The record is from RNAcentral.
GGGUGAAGGAACUAGGCAAAAUGGUACCGUAACUUCGGGAGAAGGUACGCUCUUGAUGGUGAAGUCCCUUGCGGAUGGAGCUGACGAGAGUCGCAGAUACCAGGUGGCUGCAACUGUUUAUUAAAAAACACAGCACUGUGCAAAAUCGUAAGAUGACGUAUACGGUGUGACGCCUGCCCGGUGCCGGAAGGUUAAUUGAUGGGGUUAGACUU